This 770-nucleotide ribosomal RNA is filed under the name uncultured bacterium. RNAcentral's name for it is "bacterial SSU rRNA". It matches the Rfam family "Bacterial small subunit ribosomal RNA", at positions 64 to 848 of the family's 1533-position model. The record is from RNAcentral.
GAAGGACUUUACGGAGGGAAAACACAAUGACUGAGUGGCGGACGGGUGAGUAACGCGUAGGGAACCUGGCCCUUACAGGGGGAUAACAGAUGGAAACAACUGCUAAUACCGCAUAAGCGCCCAGCCUCGCAUGAGGCAGAGUGAAAAACUAAGGUGGUAAGGGAUGGCCCUGCGUCCGAUUAGCUAGUUGGUAUGGUAACGGCAUACCAAGGCGACGAUCGGUAGCCGGCCUGAGAGGGUGGACGGCCACAUUGGGACUGAGACACGGCCCAAACUCCUACGGGAGGCAGCAGUGGGGGAUAUUGCACAAUGGGGGAAACCCUGAUGCAGCGACACCGCGUGGGUGAAGAAGCGCUUCGGCGUGUAAAGCCCUAUCAGUGGGGAAGAAAAAGGACGGUACCCAAAGAAGAAGCACCGGCUAAAUACGUGCCAGCAGCCGCGGUAAUACGUAUGGUGCAAGCGUUAUCCGGAAUGACUGGGUGUAAAGGGAGCGUAGACGGUUGUACAAGUCUGAUGUGAAAGCCCACGGCUCAACUGUGGGAGUGCAUUGGAAACUGUAGAACUAGAGUAUCGGAGAGGCAAGUGGAAUUCCUAGUGUAGCGGUGAAAUGCGUAGAUAUUAGGAGGAACACCAGUGGCGAAGGCGGCUUGCUGGACGAAAACUGACGUUGAGGCUCGAAAGCGUGGGGAGCAAACAGGAUUAGAUACCCUGGUAGUCCACGCUGUAAACGAUGAAUACUAGGUGUUGGGGCCCGAAGGGCGUCGGUGCCG